GCUGUUGGAAUGACAAGGACGUCCCCGGGGCCAAACGAAAACAACCCCACCCCCUGCGGCGCCACCCGGCUGGGAGCGGAGAGAGACUGACGGCGGAGGCGGGGGUCAGGGCGCGGACCCGGACCCCAGCCCCAUGGGGGACAGAGUCCAAAAAAACCGGCCGGGUGGAGGAUGCAGCCGGGCGUGGUGGCUACAAGGAAGUGCCCUGGUGUUAAGAACUCAGCCUCUGAAACCCGCCGCCCAGCUUCGAGUCAGCGACGUACUUUUGUUGUCCCGGCCUUAGUAUCCCCGCUGCAAUAAGAGUGUAAGCUCCUAAAGGCAGAAAUCAAGCUGACCUAAGCAAAGACCUGAAGGAGCUAUGAGGACAUCUGGCAGAAGAGGCAAGAGGCUGGCCAGCGGCUAUAAACAAGUUAAGGGACUCCUCUGAGCCUCAACAUCCCAUCCCUGGAAUGGAGAGAAGGACGUCUGCCCUGCUUAUCUCAAAAGGACAUCGAUGAGAUCAUAGAAGCCCAAGCUGAGGUUACAUCUGAUGCUAAAAACUAGACGAGAAAGGGUCUGUCUGACCCUCAAGGUCAGCAAUGUGUGUGCAACUCCCCUCUCGGGGUCUGGGGACGCAGCCAUGUGUUCCAUCGCACACCAGGCUUUGGGGAUAUUGUAGGGCUCAGACCGCCGACUGCUAGUUUAUUAAAAGAGCAGCUGCCAUCCCGCCGCGCAGUGGGACAGAGAGCUGCAGCCCGGCGCAGGCUCGACCCCGCAGGGAACCGCGACCCGGGGAUAGGCAGCUCUGGACUGCACUGAUCUGGGACUCUGUCGGCUCUACAGACACACACACGCGCGCGCACACACACACACAUGCACACACGCACGCACACACACACGCACGCACAGCCGCUAGGCCUAGAGUUUAUUUUUCCAGGGGCUGGUGGGGACUCCGCUCCCGCGGCGGGCGGCGGCACUGGAAUGUUAAUUGAAACGGAGCUGGCGAGCGCGGCGCAGAUAAGCGUCGCCCAGCAGCGUCCCCGCCUGCGGCUCCCCGAAUCAGCGAUCCGGGAAGGCCCCGCCGCCUCUCUGGCCGCUGAGGGUUUUCUUUUCCACGCUGAAGGAGUGGAACGCGCGCGGAGGCAGCUCGGCGCCCGCAAACCCCCGGAGUCAGCCCCCGACGGUCUGUCCCAGAACUAAACGGUCUCCGCCACCCAAAGCCGAGAAGCUAAGAGGCCGGCUGGGGGAGGGUGACACGGAGAAAUGGAGAAGCCCACCCAGCGGUUACAUACCGGCAGAUUUUUAUUUCCUUUAACUGGUUGGUUCUUCUAAACAUUUAAUGCAAGAAAUCUCUCGGCCCGCUUCACUUUACUCUCCACCCAUGCUCUUCCCCUAACCCUGAGAAUUUUGCACAGAUUUUCGGGGUUCGCGCGGAGCGCCUCUGAAAGUGAUGGCGGACAAACCGUCAAAAAGGCCUCAGCAUAGCAAUUUAGGAAAAGAUCGUAUCAGAUCCUUAAUUCACACCAUACACUCUAAUACACUCGAAAGUAAGCAAAGAAAUUAUAACAAAUACCAGAAUAAAAUAUGGGUGAAUUCCUUUUUAACCUCAGUGUAGGAAAAGAAAGGUCUUCUCACCAUGACUCAAAUCAAGAAGCAAGUAAACAUAACACAAAUGAUUACAUUUUAUAAAAUGCAUGGUAAGAAAUCACUAUAAAAGAAGUCAAAAGACAAUUGUCAAACAGGAAGAAAAUAUUUGCAACAUAUAGCACACAUAACCAAAGUAACUGAUAUUGAGAAAACUUAAAAAUUGAAAUUGGGAGAUGGAUACAAUUUGCGUUUGUGUAUGUAUGUGUAUAUAUUUAUGUGUUUUUAAUUGUUAUGUAUAUUAUACAUGUAUAUGUAUAGAUACAUACACAUAUGUAUAUAUCCCUUAAACAUAUAAAAGGAUGUUGCACCUCACUUGUAAUUAGAGAAAUGCAAAUUAAAAACAACACUGAGAUACUGUUUCUCACCUAUCAAAUUUGUAAGAAUUAAGAGGCAUGAUCAUGCAUUCCGUUGCCCGGGCUAGCUGGGAAGCAGGCACUCCCAUACAGUACUGGUGGAAUGCAAACCUGUAGAACCUUUCUGGAGAGGAGAACUCCUAAAAAUACUAUAUGUGCAUUUAUGUUUCACCUAUGGUCCCAUUUCUUAGAAAUUUGUCUUUCGACAAAUUCAAUUGACAAUUGUCUUUUGACUCUGAAGACAUGCCUCCAACAAUAUAAAAACACAUACAAACUUAUUAUUGUAAAGUACUGGAAAACUCUAAAUACUCAUUCACAGAACAGUGGUUGAAUAAACUUUGGUACAUUCGUGCAAUGGAGUACUAGGCAACUAUAGAAAACAAUAAGGAAGACCUCUUUGGACCAAUAUGAUGUGACUGCUGAAUAUAUUGUUAAGUGAAAAAAAGGUAACGGCAAAAGAGUAUCUUCAAGAAUCAAUGAGAGCUGGGAACAGCUCAUGUUCUGGGGAGGAGGCUGUGCCGGCCAUGGGGCUUUGGGUGUGUGAUUGACUGCAGGUGUGCUUGCCUUGUGGCAGCAGAAAAAGGAUGCACCAGUGAUCAACCCGUCUCUUAAAUAUGGUAAUCAGAUCAACAUCAUAGAUUUUAAUGAUAAAAGUAUCAUUAUAAAUGAAAACGUUAUCCAUCAAGUGGAUGAAAUUAGGCACAUUAAUGCCAGUCCGGCAGACAAAGGUGAGCUGGUGACAUUCUACAAUAAAAGUUAUUGUGUCUUCUCCUGA
Molecule: long non-coding RNA, 2754 nt
Filed under: Homo sapiens (human)
Lineage: Eukaryota; Metazoa; Chordata; Mammalia; Primates; Hominidae
Description: HSALNT0345707
Source: RNAcentral